Molecule: transfer RNA, 72 nt
Filed under: Heterocephalus glaber (naked mole-rat)
Lineage: Eukaryota; Metazoa; Chordata; Mammalia; Rodentia; Bathyergidae
Rfam family: tRNA
About the family: Transfer RNA (tRNA) molecules are approximately 80 nucleotides in length.
Source: Rfam by way of RNAcentral
UGGGGUGCAGCCCAGUGGUAGAGCACUUGCCUAGCAUGUGUUGGGCUCUGGGUUCAAUCCCCAGCACUGCAA